RNAcentral lists this ribosomal RNA (833 nucleotides) under uncultured Psychrobacter sp. Its description in RNAcentral is "bacterial SSU rRNA". It matches the Rfam family "Bacterial small subunit ribosomal RNA", at positions 45 to 871 of the family's 1533-position model. The record is from RNAcentral. Lineage: Bacteria; Pseudomonadati; Pseudomonadota; Gammaproteobacteria; Moraxellales; Moraxellaceae.
GGCUUAACACAUGCAAGUCGAGCGGAAACGAUGGUAGCUUGCUACCAGGCGUCGAGCGGCGGACGGGUGAGUAAUACUUAGGAAUCUACCUAGUAGUGGGGGAUAGCACGGGGAAACUCGUAUUAAUACCGCAUACGACCUACGGGAGAAAGGGGGCAGUUUACUGCUCUCGCUAUUAGAUGAGCCUAAGUCGGAUUAGCUAGAUGGUGGGGUAAAGGCCUACCAUGGCGACGAUCUGUAGCUGGUCUGAGAGGAUGAUCAGCCACACCGGGACUGAGACACGGCCCGGACUCCUACGGGAGGCAGCAGUGGGGAAUAUUGGACAAUGGGGGAAACCCUGAUCCAGCCAUGCCGCGUGUGUGAAGAAGGCCUUUUGGUUGUAAAGCACUUUAAGCAGUGAAGAAGACUCUUCGGUUAAUACCCGGAGACGAUGACAUUAGCUGCAGAAUAAGCACCGGCUAACUCUGUGCCAGCAGCCGCGGUAAUACAGAGGGUGCAAGCGUUAAUCGGAAUUACUGGGCGUAAAGCGAGCGUAGGUGGCUUGAUAAGUCAGAUGUGAAAUCCCCGGGCUUAACCUGGGAACUGCAUCUGAAACUGUUAGGCUAGAGUAGGUGAGAGGGAAGUAGAAUUUCAGGUGUAGCGGUGAAAUGCGUAGAGAUCUGAAGGAAUACCGAUGGCGAAGGCAGCUUCCUGGCAUCAUACUGACACUGAGGCUCGAAAGCGUGGGUAGCAAACAGGAUUAGAUACCCUGGUAGUCCACGCCGUAAACGAUGUCUACUAGUCGUUGGGUCCCUUGAGGACUUAGUGACGCAGCUAACGCAAUAAGUAGACCG